Molecule: ribosomal RNA, 705 nt
Filed under: uncultured Colwellia sp.
Lineage: Bacteria; Pseudomonadati; Pseudomonadota; Gammaproteobacteria; Alteromonadales; Colwelliaceae
Description: bacterial SSU rRNA
Rfam family: Bacterial small subunit ribosomal RNA
Source: RNAcentral
UGCGAGUCGAGCGGUAGCAUUUCUAGCUUGCUAGAAGAUGACGAGCGGCGGACGGGUGAGUAAUGCUUGGGAAUAUGCCUUAUGGUGGGGGACAACAGUUGGAAACGACUGCUAAUACCGCAUAACGUCUACGGACCAAAGGGGGGGAUCUUCGGACCUCCCGCCAUUUGAUUAGCCCAAGUGAGAUUAGCUAGUUGGUGAGGUAAUGGCUCACCAAGGCGACGAUCUCUAGCUGGUUUGAGAGGAUGAUCAGCCACACUGGGACUGAGACACGGCCCAGACUCCUACGGGAGGCAGCAGUGGGGAAUAUUGCACAAUGGGCGAAAGCCUGAUGCAGCCAUGCCGCGUGUGUGAAGAAGGCCUUCGGGUUGUAAAGCACUUUCAGUUGUGAGGAAAGGUGGGUAGUUAAUAGCUGCUCACUGUGACGUUAGCAACAGAAGAAGCACCGGCUAACUUCGUGCCAGCAGCCGCGGUAAUACGAGGGGUGCAAGCGUUAAUCGGAAUUACUGGGCGUAAAGCGUUCGUAGGCGGUCUAUUAAGCAAGAUGUGAAAGCCCAGGGCUCAUCCUUGGUACUGCAUUUUGAACUGGUAGACUAGAGUACUGUAGAGGGUGUUGGUAUUUCCAGUGUAGCGGUGAUAUGCGUAGAGAUUGGAAGGAACAUCAGUGGCGAAAAGCGGCCACCUGGUACAGAUACUGACUGCUGA